This 372-nucleotide ribosomal RNA is filed under the name Delphastus dejavu. RNAcentral describes it as "partial large subunit ribosomal RNA". The stretch from base 1 to 165 matches the Rfam family "Archaeal large subunit ribosomal RNA", at positions 1946 to 2146 of the family's 2987-position model. Lineage: Eukaryota; Metazoa; Arthropoda; Insecta; Coleoptera; Coccinellidae. The record is from RNAcentral.
AGUCGGGCCUGCCCACUGAGAAUUUUGAAGGGCCGCAGUAUUUUGACUGUGCAAAGGUAGCAUAAUCAUUAGUUUUUUAAUUGAAAGCUAGAAUGAAGGGUUUGAUGAGAAAAUUACUGUCUCAUUUGUAAUUAAAGAAUUUUAUUUUUAAGUUAAAAAGCUUAAAUUUAUUUAAAAGACGAGAAGACCCUAUAGAGUUUAAUUUAAAUUUAUUUUUAUAUUUUUAGAAUUUUAAAAUUUAAUUUUAAAUUUAAAUUUAAUUGGGGUGAUUAAAAAAUUUAUUUAACUUUUUUUAUUAUAAAACAAUAAUUUUUGAAUUUUUGAUCCAUAAAAAUGAUUACAAGAUUAAAUUACCUUAGGGAUAACAGCGAA